GCCCGCCUAGCUCAAUCGGAUAGAGCGUCAGACUCUUACGGUCUUGUAAUAGGCAGGGUAUCUGAAGGCUGCGAGUUCGACCCUCGCGGUGGGCU
Molecule: transfer RNA, 95 nt
Rfam family: tRNA
About the family: Transfer RNA (tRNA) molecules are approximately 80 nucleotides in length. Their secondary structure includes four short double-helical elements and three loops (D, anti-codon, and T loops).